UGUCGCUGCCUCGAGCCCUCGAGUGAAGUCGCCUACUCGCCCAGUCGCCCGACUUCGAGUCGAAGAGGAUUAGACAUAUUUCAUUUUCCUCUGUUCCUCAGUGGCUAAACUCUCUCGGCCCCGAGUCUCUCAAUCGAAUCCUCGCCGCCACCGGACGCCGCUAAUCAAUUCCGGCGACACACAGACCGGAACGCUGGAAGCCCUGUCCGUCUUUGAUUUCCACCGAUUUCCAUCUCUCUUUCCAUCGGUAAGGUUUCGAUAUUGAUAAUUUUUGCAAUGAGAUUCUGCAUUGAAGAAGACUCGGCUUCAGAGAUUGAAGAAUUCCAGGUACUCUGCAUUUGUUUUGGCUGAGUGGUUCUAGACUUUCAGCCCCGAUGAAUAAAUCAUCUUCAUCAUCUCAGUAAGCUAAUUGCAGUAAGCCAAAUAUAUAUGCAGUAAGCUAAUGAAGAGGCAAUCAAAAUCUGCUGCUACUAGUUCCAGUGCUAAUCCGAAAUCAACUUCUUUAUCUCAGAUCAACACUAGUGUCGGAGCGGAAUGUUACCUCCAAAGUCGAAGCCUUCAAAGUCGAAGACAAUAGCAAUCCGAGCUUGAGAUUAUGCUAUUACCCUCAUUCAUAUGUUGAUGUUGGUUCCUUUUUUUUUUUAUGUUUAAUCUUUUAGUCAACUUAUAAAUUUUUAAUUUGUGAGGUUAGUGUUGAUGUAAUGAUGGACUUUUAUAAACUUUGGACUCUAUAUUUUUUGACAAUUUCAUAUAUUGAUGUUAGAAUUUGAUGGACUAUAUGAAAUUAUGAAUUGAAUUAUAUGGA
This is a long non-coding RNA of Rosa chinensis, 805 nucleotides long. RefSeq lists it as uncharacterized. The transcript has 5 exons. The record is from RefSeq and is a predicted model, not a curated record. Lineage: Eukaryota; Viridiplantae; Streptophyta; Magnoliopsida; Rosales; Rosaceae.